AUGUUGGAGUGUGAUCCUGACUGGGCCCCUUCUCUGUACCUCAGCCAUACUGAGGUCAAAGCUACAGACACAGACCGGUUCAAGCGGUUUAGGAGAAGAGCGAUGAGGUCACAACAACAACACCCAUCGCUAGACACCGACAACACUGGUCCUGAGGCUGAGCUGGAUAAUGCAGCACCCUUAAACCCAGACACUACACCUGCACCUGAGACGGAAGAUCCUGUGAAUCCACCUCCAUCGCCGGACACUGUCCACACCACUCAUGAGACUGAGCUGAAUGAAGCAGCACAUUUGUUCCCAGGAAAAUAUUGUUAGACUACUCUGUACUUGUGGCAGAGAUGGAAGGACAAGAGACUCAGCCCCAGACAAUGAAGGGAGAGAGGAAGAUAUGGAAACUGAAACAUCAGGGGAUGAUGGUGCUCCAAUGGGGAAUGAACAGCAGAACUGCACCAUGUGUGGCUCAGACUCAAAGAAAUAGUGCCAGUGAUAAGCAGAUCACAGAGAACUGUGGCUUUCUUCAGAAGCUCUCGCCUGGAGACCUAGUGUUAGCGGAUUUGAUAUUAAAGAAAGUGCUACACUGAAAAUACCUGCCUUCACCAGGGGCCACAGCAAACUUAAUGCAAAAGAUGUGGAAGAGUCCAGGACGUUAGCUCAUGUCAGGAUCCACGUGGAGCGAGUGAUAGGGUGUAUGCGCUCUAAAAUUAACAUAUUAAAUGACACAAUGCGUCUGAGAUUUGUGGUGCCCUGUGAGGGGGGGGGUAAGACUUUGCUGGAUAAAAUUGUGGUUGUGUGCUGUGCUUUGACCAAUAUGUGUCCAAGUAUUGUUGUGAAGCCAUCGUGUUAGAAUUAUACACCAUGCUCACAUCUAAUAUGUAAACUUUUUUUUGUUUUCCAAAAGAUUUUGUAAUGUCUUUUCCCACAUGUAAUGAUUUUUAGCCAUGUCUGCAAAUAAAAUACACAAAGAUUGAAUUAAAUUCUGCCUCCUUUAUCUGUAUUAAGGAAGAAUCAGUGUUCUUUGGUUGCAAAUGCAAUUAAAUAACUUAAACAGUAGUAACAACCAACUUAAACCAAAAUGUUAACAUUUACAUUAUAAAGAGUCCAUAGAAAAGAUGAGAAACUGAAAAUAUAUGAGGUAGGUUGUGGGUGAUAAGUCACAGACACAUGACUCUUCUCUGGCUGGAGUCCCACGCAGUCUAAAUGAAACCACUGUAGAGGACCGUUAACAUGUCUUCAAGCUCUUCAGGCUGUCUGCAAAAGCACCACAACACAGCCUUUUCACAUGUCCUUCUUUUGGGCUGGCGGUGUGACCUGGCUGCAGUGUGGUCCAUGAUAUUUUGAUUGUGUUUUUUCGUGCUCGUUUUUUGAUUUUGGCUGUGAAUCAAAUAAUGGCUCAAAUAAUUCAACUCCAUCCUUCCUUCUGUGAACUGCAGACAAAACUCCUUGUCAGUACAUGCCUGCAGAAUGUUAUGGUCCUGGUGCUUAAAAGGGCAUUUAAUCUCCACACAUCCUUUCCGGCAACAUGCACAAUGCACAAGACAAGUGCAUCAGGAGUCGUGCCUAUUUUUGGGAAAGAAGGGUUGAUUAUGAAUCCACAGUUGACUUUGCUGGUCUGGUUCUGGAGGUGGAGACAACAGCGUGUAUGAUGGAGGUGGUUAUCCUUCCAGCUCGUGUGCUGUGCCAUAUGUCAGACUUCUGCCGCUGUCCUGUGUUCUUUUCCAGUGCAGCUGCCUCUGUGGCUGUCACAAGGUGUGCCAGGCCCUCACAGUGUGGAAGCAGG
Long non-coding RNA from Carassius auratus (goldfish), 1777 nucleotides. The record is from Ensembl. Lineage: Eukaryota; Metazoa; Chordata; Actinopteri; Cypriniformes; Cyprinidae.